Molecule: long non-coding RNA, 1263 nt
Filed under: Fukomys damarensis (Damara mole-rat)
Lineage: Eukaryota; Metazoa; Chordata; Mammalia; Rodentia; Bathyergidae
Description: lncRNA (ENSFDAG00000021621.1)
Source: RNAcentral
AAUUCAUCAUUUACAUUAAUAAGAACAUUGCAAUACUGUGUCUCUUCUGUAGGAUGACAGUCCCCGGAGCGGUACAGUGUCUCUUGAAACAACUCCUGUAACUGUGCAUAUUGAUCGUCUCGUGGUAGAGAGAAAUGACGAUGGCUCGUUUCAUAUCAGAGAUUCUCAUAUGCUUAACACUGAAAAUCAUUUGAGAGAAAAUGUCGGAAGUGACUCCGAGCUGCUGACCAGUGGAAAGUGUGACCGGAGGAGGCAUGGCGGUGUUGAGCAGGCCACUCAGACGAGCAUAGAGACCCUGGGGCCGGCUCCCUCAGCGCUCCUUCCUGAGUGCACCUCUGACACCACAAGGGAACAGCUCAUGGAAGAGAAUGAGUCUCUCAAGCAGGAACUGGCCAAGGCUAAAAUGGCUCUUGCAGAGUGUCACUUGGAAAAAGAUGCACUUCUUCAUCAAAUAAAGACGAUGACAAGUGACUAACGGGAGUGGGCCUCGGAGCUCCGAUUACAGCUCAGGAGGAGGAGGGCUGUGUUUCUGAUGUUCCUGUUACCAGUGAAUGGAGAUUCUCCUUCCGGGAAAUCAAAAUGCCAUGGGAUGUGGUGACUCCAAAGGUGGCUCCCCAAAGCCAGUUUGGAAGGUGUUAGGUACGAACGUUACAGUCUUCAGUUACUUUGUGUUUGGGGAUUCAACCCUUUUUCAAACUGGUGUUAUCUAGGGAAGUCAGCACAUACUGCAGAGUAACUAUAUGCUUACUGAUAACCAGAUGUCACUUCCUAAUUUUGAUAAUGUCAUUAUAAGAAUCUUUUUAAAGAAAAAAACCUGUUGUGUUCACAUGAAUUACUGAAUUUAUUUCUCAGUAUUUGUUAAUAAUUUACUACUCUUUACAGAAAUUCAAAUGCUUUUAGGGCUCAUGUAAAAUAAAAAGGAAGCUUAGAUUUUAAAUGUUAUUAAAAUUAUGUUCUUAAAUCUAUAAUUACCAUAAAAAGUCCAAUCAAAUUAAUAAAUUUAUGAUUAAUAAGUUUAAGAACUCUGAAAAACCUUCACCCUACUGAACUUAUUAAAGCAACUUGAAAAUGUGAAAAAAGUCAUGCUAGAUGAUGGGUAAACUAUGUAAGUGGGAGCUCUAAUUUCCAAUAAAAAGAUGGUACAAAUGUAAAAAUAAAAAGCACAAAUAUUAGCCUAGUCAAGUGAUUUAAAAAGCAUUACUUGUACAUUCCUUAAACAUUUAUUAUUAAAGUAAAAUUAACUCAUUCUAAAUUUGGCAGCAU